GAUGAACGCUAGCUACAGGCUUAACACAUGCAAGUCGAGGGGCAGCAUGGUCUUAGCUUGCUAAGGCCGAUGGCGACCGGCGCACGGGUGAGUAACACGUAUCCAACCUGCCGUCUACUCUUGGACAGCCUUCUGAAAGGAAGAUUAAUACAAGAUGGCAUCAUGAGUCCGCAUGUUCACAUGAUUAAAGGUAUUCCGGUAGACGAUGGGGAUGCGUUCCAUUAGAUAGUAGGCGGGGUAACGGCCCACCUAGUCUUCGAUGGAUAGGGGUUCUGAGAGGAAGGUCCCCCACAUUGGAACUGAGACACGGUCCAAACUCCCACGGGAGGCAGCAGUGAGGAAUAUUGGUCAAUGGGCGAGAGCCUGAACCAGCCAAGUAGCGUGAAGGAUGACUGCCCUAUGGGUUGUAAACUUCUUUUAUAAAGGAAUAAAGUCGGGUAUGGAUACCCGUUUGCAUGUACUUUAUGAAUAAGGAUCGGCUAACUCCGUGCCAGCAGCCGCGGUAAUACGGAGGAUCCGAGCGUUAUCCGGAUUUAUUGGGUUUAAAGGGAGCGUAGAUGGAUGUUUAAGUCAGUUGUGAAAGUUUGCGGCUCAACCGUAAAAUUGCAGUUGAUACUGGAUAUCUUGAGUGCAGUUGAGGCAGGCGGAAUUCGUGGUGUAGCGGUGAAAUGCUUAGAUAUCACGAAGAACUCCGAUUGCGAAGGCAGCCUGCUAAGCUGCAACUGACAUUGAGGCUCGAAAGUGUGGGUAUCAAACAGGAUUAGAUACCCUGGUAGUCCACACGGUAAACGAUGAAUACUCGCUGUUUGCGAUAUACUGCAAGCGGCCAAGCGAAAGCGUUAAGUAUUCCACCUGGGGAGUACGCCGGCAACGGUGAAACUCAAAGGAAUUGACGGGGGCCCGCACAAGCGGAGGAACAUGUGGUUUAAUUCGAUGAUACGCGAGGAACCUUACCCGGGCUUAAAUUGCAGAUGAAUUACGGUGAAAGCCGUAAGCCGCAAGGCAUCUGUGAAGGUGCUGCAUGGUUGUCGUCAGCUCGUGCCGUGAGGUGUCGGCUUAAGUGCCAUAACGAGCGCAACCCUUGUUGUCAGUUACUAACAGGUUCCGCUGAGGACUCUGACAAGACUGCCAUCGUAAGAUGUGAGGAAGGUGGGGAUGACGUCAAAUCAGCACGGCCCUUACGUCCGGGGCUACACACGUGUUACAAUGGGGGGUACAGAGGGCCGCUACCACGCGAGUGGAUGCCAAUCCCCAAAACCUCUCUCAGUUCGGACUGGAGUCUGCAACCCGACUCCACGAAGCUGGAUUCGCUAGUAAUCGCGCAUCAGCCACGGCGCGGUGAAUACGUUCCCGGGCCUUGUACACACCGCCCGUCAAGCCAUGGGAGCCGGGGGUACCUGAAGUGCGUAACCGCGAGGAGCGCCCUAGGGUAAAACUGGUGACUGGGGCU
This 1450-nucleotide ribosomal RNA is filed under the name uncultured organism. Its description in RNAcentral is "SSU rRNA". It matches the Rfam family "Bacterial small subunit ribosomal RNA". The record is from RNAcentral.